This 193-nucleotide ribosomal RNA is filed under the name Salinivibrio sp. IB574. RNAcentral's name for it is "partial 23S ribosomal RNA". It matches the Rfam family "Bacterial large subunit ribosomal RNA", at positions 1 to 189 of the family's 2925-position model. Lineage: Bacteria; Pseudomonadati; Pseudomonadota; Gammaproteobacteria; Vibrionales; Vibrionaceae. The record is from RNAcentral.
GUUGUAUGGUUAAGUGAUUAAGCGUAGACGGUGGAUGCCUUGGCAGUCAGAGGCGAUGAAGGACGUAUUAACUUGCGAUAAGCCCAGAUAAGGCAGUAAAAGCCAUUUGAGUCUGGGAUUUCCGAAUGGGGAAACCCACCUGCAUAAGCAGGUAUCUUAGCGUGAAUACAUAGCGCUAAGAGGCGAACUCGGG